Brassica napus (rape) is the source of this 6094-nucleotide long non-coding RNA. RefSeq lists it as uncharacterized. The transcript is spliced from 3 exons. The record is from RefSeq and is a predicted model, not a curated record. NCBI's taxonomy places the organism in Eukaryota, Viridiplantae, Streptophyta, Magnoliopsida, Brassicales, Brassicaceae.
GUCACAAACUUUUUUUUUUCAAUUAAAUAUUUACUUUAUUAAUAAACCCGAAACGGGGAUUCAAGUUUCGGUUCAAACAAAAUGAAAUGUCACAAACUUUUACUUUAGUUGUUUCCUAGUUUUCAAAUUCUCUUUAUUGAGCUUGUAAAUAACUUCUUUUGUGUCGAAUAGAUAUCACAAUGAACCAAAAACAUAAUCAAAAGUUUUAAAAAGUUUGGAUCCACCAAGUGUAUUUUAGGCUAGAAACUAGUUCGCGAAACCUUCAAAAUUAUGCGCCUCUAUUUAAGUUCAAUCAUAAAAAGAACAUAAGGUUUUCCUUCGGCCAAAACUUUUCAUUAUUAUGUUAAAGAGAAAUUACUUAAAAUGACUCUAAUUAAUCAUGAAAUGACUAGACUAACUCAUAUAAUUUUGAAAUUACUAGAUUAACUCUCGAAGCAUGCAAACUUACGAUUUUGCAUUUACUAAUAAUUAUAUCCUAAUUAAAAAAAAUAUUUAAUACUAUAAGAAAGAGAAAAAAAGCAAGCAUUUUACCUAUGUCGGGUUUCUCCACCUAAGGCGAAACGUUCUCCUCGUCGUCUCCUUCACCUCCAUCUCUGUUGGUCCCUUUUCCCUCACAACCGGCUUCGUCUCCGUCACCAGCGUGACUUGACUGUCUCCGCCAUCCUCCACGAUAACUCACCUUCGUCUCUUCCUACUCGACAAACCCGAAAUCGUUUUCACCUCAAUCACAUCCGGCUUCAACUACAAGUUACUCUAAUCUAUUGUUUGAAAUUGUUUCCUCUUAGGGUCUGAUGAGAUACGUACGUGAUAUUGGCAAGAUAAUAGUAACAGUUCCACGACAACUUUUAUGGAAAGAAAAACAACUAUUUCUUGGUGAAACAGUUCGGCAGAGGCAAUGCUAAUGUUUAAUUUAGCAAAGAGAGCAACAACCUCUACAAACUCAACUGUUAUAGGUUUAGCGUACCAGAAGACGGUGACGAUUCAGGUAGCUGACAAGGAGAAAGAUAUGGAACUUGGAACCACCAAGACAAAGAAACAAAACAAGCUUAAGCUCUAUGUUAACAAGUUUAUAGGUUAUAAAGAUUUUUCAUGGACAGUUUAGUUUCUUGCUUGCAACACCUCCAUUGUUAUGUUCUUUUUCUCAAAAUGAUAUUUAAAAGAAAGUAGUAAGCUGGUUGAUGUCCACAUUCCUUGUGUGCAGACAAGUACCUCUGAACUUUAUAGAUAUGUGAUAUGAAUUGAAAGAGAGAACAGUAUCUGAUACAAAGUUACAAACUCAACAACAUGUCAAAUUCAAGAACCUAUUCUUACAUAUAAGGACUUUGCUGCACGCUUCUCUGCUGAAGAAAGUCAUUAUGCCAUUUAUGAUUUUGACUUUGUCACUGUUGAAAACUGCCAGAAGAGCAAGAUUUUUUUUAAUUGCAUGGUAAGAAACUCAUUCCUGUAAAACCUCACUGCAUUAUUUGUGGCUUUGACAAUAGAUUUUUCUUCUUUUUUCCGAUAACAACAGAUUUUUCAAGAAACUAUAAAUGUACGAACAGAUGUUUAGCUCCACCAGCCAUGAACAGACGUUUACUUUGAAACCAUUACUAAAUACAAAAUAUUUCAUUUCAUGCAUUCAAAAUACCGGUAUGUUGUGCACGCUUCGUAAUCCUUCCCCAGAUAAUGCUUGCGCUGAAGGCAAGGAAUAAAUACUUAAAUCUAUUGCAUCAACUUCCAGUAGAGCCAAAGUUCCAGGAUUUACCAUUCUAAUCUUGUGAAGGUAAUAAGGUAAUUCCUCGUAUUGCAACAAGUGAUUAAUCUGCCAUGAAAAAGGACGACUAGAUAAAAAGAAAAAGAGGAAUGAAAGAGAUGACGAUAAUUACCGAACAUUUACCUAAUUCUGAUCUUAAUUAACCUAAAAAUUAACCCGAUACGAAAUUUAUAUAAACCGGUUCGAAAUUGAAUAUUAAAUUAAGUUUGGUUGACACAAAUACAGAUUUUUUCUUCAAUAAAUCUGCCACAAUAUAAAUUAAAAAGUCUGCAACCACAUAAAAAAAAUCUACGAACAAUUUUAAAUCAGAUAUAUAACUCUGCCGUAAAAAAAUAGGUCGAACAUAAGAAAAUAAGUCGGCCCAUAAAAAAAUAAGUUGACCACAAAAAUCUACCAUUUAUAACAAAUCUGCUACCUCAUACGACAUACUAAUUCUUAAAAAUCUGUUUUCUAUUUAAAUCGGACAAUUAAUUCUGCCGUAGAAACAAAUCUGACGUUUCUAAGAAAGUCUGACACCACUUUAACGGUAGACUUUUUUUUCUAUACCGAUUUUAAUGUUAAGGAUACUUUGGUAAUGUUUUUUUUUAUUGUUAUAACUAUGGACAAGGGCAAUUUUGACCAGAAAAUAAUAACACAAUUAAUUUGUGUUAUUUUAGUAAAUUUUCCUUAUGUUAAUUGAAAUAUCUUAUAUGUUAUAACUGCAGUAACAAUUGAAAUACAAAUUUUGAUUAUAUAUUUUGAACUACCCGAACAAAUAACAUAACCAUCAGUAGGUAAAUAAUUUUUUUAUAAGAAAAAUCCGUAAUACAGUUAUGCAGUACUACACGAUAUUUCAAAGUUUCUAGAAGAAAAUAGUAGAAAAGGGAAAGCUACACGUUUGGCACUAUUAACAUAGUAAUUUCUUAUAAGAAUUGGUUUUAGUUGAAACUUUUGAUAAGUAAUGGGAAAAUAUGAAACCUAUUAAGAAAAAGAAGUUGGAUAAUACUACGACAUUGACCUAGUAGUUAGAGCCUAAACAUCACUUGCCAAGAAUUGGUACCCAAAUUGAAGUCAUAGUGUUAUUCUGAUAAUAUAUUCAAUUUUCUUUUUAGAUUCAAAUAUUUAAUAUAGCGUGUAUAUUGUAUUUAUCGGAAUUAUGCAUGGAACAUCAUAGGGAAUUGAAUGUGAGUUAGCAUUUCAAUGUGAGACCGUCCUCAACUUUUUUGACUCGGAUAAGAACGCAAUUCUCGCUCUCUGAGAAAUAUAUUUUCCUAUAAAAUACUGAAAACAUAUAGCAGACAUGUUCAUCUGAUUAUACUAACCGAGAUGAUUUUUAGAGCUGUACAAUUUGAUAUAACUCCAGUGGUGCCUGUAUAAAGAUAGAUGUGGAUUUGUUGAUGGUUUAGGAUACAAUCAUUUUGCUAUGUCAUGAAUUUUAGAGAUUUCUUGAUGGUGAUCUAAAUAUAUAUAGUCAUGUCCAAUUUUCUUUUUGCGAUAGUUAUUAAAAAUUAUGAAUCGAAUUCGGUUUGCAUUUGUACAAUCAUAAAUUUCACCACAAAUACAUAUGUAUUUUCAUAUUUGAAGUUAGGAAAUCACUUUCUUAAACUUAAUAUCUCGACUAUUAUUUGGUAGUUGGUUCUCACUACUAUAAUGGAGUAGAAGUUUUUGUUCGAAAAGUUGCCACACAUCAGUUACUUAAAUCAAGAUUGCUGUCCAUUAAGGGCUAAACAACUUCCAUAGGUGUGAUUGCACUAACACAACAUGAUUGAUUGGUUGCUCUCUCAAUAAUAGUUUUAAUAAUAGUAACACAAAUAAACUUAAUUUAGAAACCAAAGUUGCUUUUUAAGGUUCCCAAAACUUGGAACCCGGACUUGUGUAUAAAAACAAAACAUUAUGCAAACUAGUGAAUGUUCAUAAUAAAGGCACGCAUAUACAGCUAAAAAUAUUGUAUAAGAUAAAGUAUGAAAUGUUUGGAAAUAUAUGAGUUUUGUAUAGAAGAGUUCUGAAAAUUCUAAACCUUUUUGUGCAGAACUCAUAACUUUUGUUUGCCAUCCAGAUCCAGUAAUUGGGUGCAUGCCUACUUUUAGAUCGUGAAAAUCUGUUUCUAAGAAAUCAAGGGUAGCUAAUUUGUCUGCACAAACGAAAUAAAAAAGUAUAGCUAAUUUAAUUAUGCUUAUGAUGUUAUGAUGUCUAUUAAGAAACUUGAUGUAAGUUAACUGGCCGGAUGAUUCCAAAUAACAUAAGCCAUGUGAACUUUGACUUUGACACCGAAUUAACCUGUUUUGAAAAAAAUAUAAAAACAAAAUGCAAAUUUAUAUGCAAGAGAGACAAAUAUAUACUGAUUUGUAAGUACUGUUAUGUUGUUUAGUGAAGAGUUACUUUGUUUCUAAAAACAAUGUUUGGUUUUAUUCACAUUGUCAUUUUAUUCCUUGGACCAUUUUCUUACUUGCUUCGCAUCCCGUGCAUGUCUCCUCUAAAUCACCACCAUUGAUACAUUUGUAUAUACCCAUGAAUAUAAAUAAACGGCAGUUAAAAAGAAAAAUAAAACGAAAUGAGAUUUAGUUCGAGUUUUCCUUUUCUGUUUUAAAUUAUUUUUUCUUGUUAAAUCCUUUUUGUAUUUGGUUUCAAGUGUCAUUAGGAAUCCAAAAAAAUCUGUUAAAACUACUAAAACAUGCAAAAUUGUUGUUAAUGUUAUAAACCAAAUGAUGAUCGACCAUGGACCAGUCCGUACUGCAGGCCCAAUCCGAGACAUGAUAAAGACAACCAGAGACUAUGUGUUUAUCUAGUAUAUAUUCCAUGUAUGUAUGUAACAUAGUGUUUAUCCUUAUCUUUAUCUUGUUAGGAUAAACAUGACCUUAUGACGGUCUAAUACCUUAUAUAUAUAUGGACCUUCUGGUCGUCGACAGUAAUGAUAACAGAAGUAUUUCCCCAACACAUCAUUUACAACACAUUAUCAGCACGACGUUGUUCUCAUAAACCCUAACCCUAAAAACCAGAAAUAAAUCCGAGCAGUAAAAACCCUAAUUCCCGACAAACUUCAAACAGCUCUAUCCCUCAACUCCGGUGGAUCCAGACGACGAGCCAGAUACCAAAUUAAAACUCUUGACGAGACGAAGCCAACGCCGCUAACCCCGCAUCAAUCAGAGUUCGGACGCGCCCCCACGCUCAGCUACAAUACAGGCGGAAAAUUUGUUCCAAAAACCAAAAUCUCUCUCAACCAUAUACCAGUCUUCUAUUCCAACAAGCAGCAACAAAAACAAUAAUUCCGAGCAAUCCAUCAGCUAACCAGGAAGAUCUCUAACUGAUAGACCGAUCAACCCAUCAAAAGUUUUCAAGUAUCAUCGAAAACUUAUCUAAAACCCAUAAAGUAUUAAAUACCCCCAUCCGCAGCCAUGUAGCUAUAUUUAGCAACAUGUCUCUGCAAAUAAAAUAAAACCAGAUACCAUAAACUCUUUAAAAUCUCGAACCUGAACUUGUUUUGAACCUGUUCUUAAUCUGAAACUGAUUUUAAAAUUGUUUAAAACUUUUCCUGAUGAUAGUUUCACAUUAGAACUGUUUAGGAUUGAAAGUUAAACAAUUUUUUUAAAAAAAUCUGACUGCUAUAUGUUGAAAGAAACCGACUGUUACUUGCUUAAACUUAUCAUUAUUGUCCUGUUUAAUGUUUUUAUCUGAUCUGAAUCAACUAGAACUGUUAAGGACUGCAUGUUACAUAAUUUUUUUUGAAAAUCUGAUCAUGGUUUCAUAAAUUAAUCCGAGGUUUUACCUCCUGUUCUUGUCUGAGAAAUUUGUUUUCCUGAUGAUUGAUAACGACUAGAACUUGAUUAGGAUUGAAAAAAAUAUUUUUUUUAAUAUUUAAAAUCGAAAUAUCAGAGAUAUAUCUGAGAAAAUAUAUUUAUUUUUAAAUCAAAAAGUAUAUAAUAAAUUGCUUGAAUAAAUCAAAUCUUCCUGAUUUUUUUUUUAAGUCACAAUAAUUUCUGAUUUGAUUAUUUUUCGAAAAAAAUAAUAAUAAAUAUAUGGUAUAUUUUUCGAAAACCCUAACCUGAUUUCAUGAUUGAAUUGGUUUGCUUGAUUGCAUAUUGUUUGCAUACUAAUAUUGCAUACUGAACAUGAAAUCUCGACUGUUAGGGAUAUAGAUCAUUCAUAGUUUUCAAGCAAUCUGAUCUGAACUGAAAAAAAAAUCAUUAUACUAAAUGAUCCGAUCCAAUGGGAUGAAGAAAAUAUGGAACAUUUUCCUGAUCAUCUAAGAUAGAAUCCCUAAAGGCCUUGAAACCUUGUGUUUGAAAUAAGAGGACCUUAAAUCUGAAAAAUACAUUGAUCCACACCUUAAACCGUAUGGUUUUAAGAAAAUGCAUCAUUUAGAAA